RNAcentral lists this long non-coding RNA (729 nucleotides) under Pan troglodytes (chimpanzee). RNAcentral describes it as "long non-coding RNA NONPTRT009574". Lineage: Eukaryota; Metazoa; Chordata; Mammalia; Primates; Hominidae. The record is from RNAcentral.
CUGGCUGUCCCUCAGGAGCGGGGGUCCUCCAAGGCACACUGCCCACUGGGUCAAGGAGUGUCCAGGAGGAGUUAGAAGCAUGACCCAUCUGCCUGGCACCAGCACCUGGGGCUGCCAGGCAGCCACCCCUGCAGCUGUGUUGACAGGGCCUGGCAGAGGGACUGACCCACCUUUGGAAAAUGACACCAGCAAUAUCAGGAUGUGUCAACUGGAUUUAUGUUAAGAAAAUAGGAUUUUUGGUGUUCCUCUGUUUCCCAAAGUUUGAGACACUUUCAGACACUCUGCUUUGCGGUUGUGGCCGAUGUUACCCAUGGGUGGGACUUUUGCUUUGCUCUAGAUUUUUGUAACACCCUGGGGAGUUUCAGGGGCCAAUGCUGAGAGAAGACCACAGGCUGACACAUCAUGAGGUAUGUUGGUAAAACAGCCCCGGCUGGCCGAGAGGCCACUGAGGGAACAGGCCCAGGGUUUGGUUUGUACUCUGUGAGUCUUGGCCUGGCAGGGUCUCCUGCACAGCAGAGUCCUCUGAGUGGGACCCCAGGGGAAGCAGGUUGUUGCCUGGAGCUGAGAGGCAGCUCUGUAUUCAGGAGGGGUGCCUGCCUUCCCAUCUCCCCUGUGACCAGAUGUCACAGAAACAUUCUCUCUUUACUCCCUAGACCCUCUGGGCAGGUCCACUAAGAGUAUGUAUUCUAGAACAUGCAGGGCUUGAAGCUUCACAAGAUAUUCAGUGCA